RNAcentral lists this unclassified non-coding RNA (25 nucleotides) under Mus musculus (house mouse). RNAcentral describes it as "oocyte_clustered_small_RNA7861". The record is from RNAcentral. Lineage: Eukaryota; Metazoa; Chordata; Mammalia; Rodentia; Muridae.
UUUGUUUCCAAUUCUUUACAAGCAU